GACGGGGGAUGCAAGCGUUAUCCGGAAUCACUGGGCGUAAAGCGUCUGCAGGUGGUUUCCUAAGUCCACUGUUAAACCUUGAGGCUCAACCUCAAAUCUGCAUUGGAAACUAGGAGACUUGAGUAUAGUAGGGGUAGAGGGAAUUUCCAGUGGAGCGGUGAAAUGCGUAGAUAUUGGAAAGAACACCGAUGGCGAAGGCGCUCUACUGGGCUAUUACUGACACUCAGAGACGAAAGCUAGGGGAGCAAAUGGG
This 253-nucleotide ribosomal RNA is filed under the name uncultured bacterium. RNAcentral describes it as "partial 16S ribosomal RNA". It matches the Rfam family "Bacterial small subunit ribosomal RNA", at positions 524 to 776 of the family's 1533-position model. The record is from RNAcentral.